RNAcentral lists this ribosomal RNA (253 nucleotides) under uncultured bacterium. RNAcentral's name for it is "partial 16S ribosomal RNA". It matches the Rfam family "Bacterial small subunit ribosomal RNA", at positions 524 to 776 of the family's 1533-position model. The record is from RNAcentral.
UACGUAGGGUGCGAGCGUUAAUCGGAAUUACUGGGCGUAAAGCGUGCGUAGGCGGUUCUCCAAGUCCGUUGUGAAAGCCCCGGGCUCAACCUGGGAAUGGCAGUGGAAACUAGGGGACUGGAAUCUGGCAGAGGGGGAUGGAAUUCCGCGUGUAGCAGUGAAAUGCGUAGAUAUGCGGAGGAACACCGAUGGCGAAGGCAAUCCCCUGGGCCUGCACUGACGCUCAUGCACGAAAGCGUGGGGAGCAAACAGG